AAUGGGCGAAAGCCUGACGGAGCAACGCCGCGUGAGGGACGAAGGCCUCUGGGCUGUAAACCUCUUUUCUCAAGGAAGAAGAUAUGACGGUACUUGAGGAAUAAGCCACGGCUAAUUCCGUGCCAGCAGCCGCGGUAAUACGGGAGUGGCAAGCGUUAUCCGGAAUUAUUGGGCGUAAAGCGUCCGCAGGCGGCCUUUCAAGUCUGCUGUUAAAGCGUGGAGCUUAACUCCAUCAUGGCAGUGGAAACUGAUAGGCUUGAGUAUGGUAGGGGCAGAGGGAAUUCCCGGUGUAGCGGUGAAAUGCGUAGAUAUCGGGAAGAACACCGGUGGCGAAGGCGCUCUGCUGGGCCAUUACUGACGCUCAUGGACGAAAGCCAGGGGAGCGAAAGGGAUU
This 394-nucleotide ribosomal RNA is filed under the name uncultured Gammaproteobacteria bacterium. RNAcentral's name for it is "bacterial SSU rRNA". It matches the Rfam family "Bacterial small subunit ribosomal RNA", at positions 370 to 779 of the family's 1533-position model. Lineage: Bacteria; Pseudomonadati; Pseudomonadota; Gammaproteobacteria. The record is from RNAcentral.